Molecule: ribosomal RNA, 468 nt
Filed under: uncultured bacterium
Lineage: Bacteria
Description: partial 16S ribosomal RNA
Rfam family: Bacterial small subunit ribosomal RNA
Source: RNAcentral
GACGAACGCUGGCGGCGUGCUUAACACAUGCAAGUCGAACGGAAAGGCCCUGCUUUUGUGGGGUGCUCGAGUGGCGAACGGGUGAGUAACACGUGAGUAACCUGCCCUUGACUUUGGGAUAACUUCAGGAAACUGGGGCUAAUACCGGAUAGGAGCUCCUGCUGCAUGGUGGGGGUUGGAAAGUUUCGGCGGUUGGGGAUGGACUCGCGGCUUAUCAGCUUGUUGGUGGGGUAGUGGCUUACCAAGGCUUUGGCGGGUAGCCGGCCUGAGAGGGUGACCGGCCACAUUGGGACUGAGAUACGGCCCAGACUCCUACGGGAGGCAGCAGUGGGGAAUAUUGCACAAUGGGCGGAAGCCUAAUGCAGCAACGCCGCGUGCGGGAUGACGGCCUUCGGGUUGUAAACCGCUUUCGCCUGUGACGAAGCGUGAGUGACGGUAAUGGGUAAAGAAGCACCGGCUAACUACGUG